Molecule: long non-coding RNA, 537 nt
Filed under: Chrysolophus pictus (golden pheasant)
Lineage: Eukaryota; Metazoa; Chordata; Aves; Galliformes; Phasianidae
Description: lncRNA (ENSCPIG00010005140.1)
Source: RNAcentral
AUAAACUUCCCUUCCAGUGAGGACGGAGCUCCGAAGCACGCUCUCAGCUCAGGCCCCUGCACUCAGUUGGCCUCCAGCAGGACUCAGCCAUCCCCCUCCACACAAAGCUGGCAGCACCCUGCGCUCAUCGCAUGGCCAAAAUGGGCACACGUGGCUCAGGGAGGAAGAGGAUUUCAAGGAAAGAUGGGGCUGAGAGCAACGUGUGCUGCUGAGAUGAAAGCCACCAGGAAAGCACAGCAGAGAUGGUCAGCAGCCCCAACCCUGGGACCCCAUCCUGGUAACCCCCAGAACGGCCCCACUGCUCCUGCAGCCCAGCUCUGAGCUCAGCAUCUCCACGCCGGGAGCAGACAGCCCCCAGAUGGCUCCAGCAGCAGCAGCUGCCCGGCGACCGGCCGAAGGCUUCAUCAACUGGCACCCAAAAGUCAAUCAGGAAGAUGCUGCCUGUUUUAAUGAACAGAGAAAAUUCGCACAGAGAUGAUGUGUGCCGGGGGGAGGAGGGAGGCUGGAGACAAAACAUGACCUUGUUGGUGGAGGCAC